RNAcentral lists this ribosomal RNA (316 nucleotides) under Circe scripta. Its description in RNAcentral is "partial large subunit ribosomal RNA". It matches the Rfam family "Bacterial large subunit ribosomal RNA", at positions 2045 to 2597 of the family's 2925-position model. The record is from RNAcentral. Lineage: Eukaryota; Metazoa; Mollusca; Bivalvia; Venerida; Veneridae.
UAUAGUGAAUUUUCCUUUUAAGUGAAAAGGCUUAAAUUUUUGUAAAAGAAGAGAAGACCCUAUCGAGCUUAAUUAUAUAUUAAUUGGUUAUUAAUUUUUGAAUUUUUAUUGGGGCAAUAGAGGGCUAUAAUUAACGCCUUUUUGUGUUAUGAAGAUCCUAUUUGAUAGAUAAAAAGCAAAAGCUACCGUAGGGAUAACAGCGUAAUUUUUUUUUUGAGAUCGUAUUGGAAAAAGAGUUUGCGACAUCGAUGUUGAAUUAAGAGUUUCUUAUGGUGCAGCCGCUAUAAGGGUAAGACUGUUCGUCUUAUAUUUUCUU